RNAcentral lists this unclassified non-coding RNA (305 nucleotides) under plant metagenome. RNAcentral's name for it is "partial contains 5.8S ribosomal RNA, internal transcribed spacer 2, and large subunit ribosomal RNA". The stretch from base 1 to 105 matches the Rfam family "5.8S ribosomal RNA", at positions 50 to 154 of the family's 154-position model. The record is from RNAcentral.
GAAACGCGAUAGUUAAUGUGAAUUGCAGAAUUUAGUGAAUCAUCGAGUCUUUGAACGCACAUUGCGCCCAUUGGUAUUCCUUAGGGCAUGCCUGUUCGAGCGUCAUUUAAACCCUUCAAGCUCAGCUUGGUGUUGGGUGACUGUCCGCCGCCCCCGGGCGUGGACUCGCCCCAAAUCCAUUGGCGGCCGGUACGUAGGCUUCGAGCGCAGCAGAAACGCGAACUCGAGCCCGCGGUGUCGGCUCCCAGAAGCCAUCUCUUUUAUUUUGACCUCGGAUCAGGUAGGGAUACCCGCUGAACUUAAGC